Ostrea edulis (European flat oyster) is the source of this 1048-nucleotide long non-coding RNA. RefSeq lists it as uncharacterized. The transcript has 2 exons. Lineage: Eukaryota; Metazoa; Mollusca; Bivalvia; Ostreida; Ostreidae. The record is from RefSeq and is a predicted model, not a curated record.
GGACACAUCGCAUGUUUUUAAACUUUUUAAUUUUUUCAGCAAAAUUAAUUCAUUUCAUGCCUAAAACUACUUUACAUGUGUUUUAGAUGAAACAGUUUGCGUAGUUUUCGAGUUUGAAAGCGAUGAAAUUCAAAUCUUGCGAUAUGCAUAUUUUCUUCGAUAGUUUACGCGCCAUUAUCUGUGACGUCAUAUGCGACCUCGAGCGAGAAGAUUUGAAAACAGUUGUUAGCCAUUUCAUAAACAUAUUAGAUUUAAUUGACAAACAAACAAUUAUCACAUUAACGGCUUGUAAAUAAUACUGCAUUAGGGUGUUUUGUGCCGUUUAAGAGUGUACUUGCAGUCAGUAGAGAGGCUUUGAACUGUGUUUUUUGUCAAUUUUUCAAAGGAAGGUGUGAGGGACAAGACGUGAAUAUUUUUUGUCGGCACAACGACUUUGCCAUAAAAAACCCCAGUAGAUUUUUUUUAAACAAGCACUUGGACAAAGACGUAAAUAAACUGCGAGAAAAUGGUUCUAUCGAAGCUACGCACCGUUACAUAUACACUGUCAUGAUCGUGUGCAGGAUUGGACAAAACAAGAUGGCAGACGGCAUUUCCAAACAAAGAUCCAGUCAGGAGCGGACUUCCUUAAGCUUAAAAGUUGCAAGUGAAUGAAGUGUGUUCUAUUUUAUGUCUCCUAAUAAAACCAUGGUUUUGACAAACCUAAAAGAGCACGUGGAGCAAGGAACUAUCAGUAAGCCGGAAGAGCCAGCUCGAAAAUCUUUACGUGUUUGAGAAUUGCACCGCGCACAUGAAUCUAAAGUUCUGUCACACGUUAGAAGGAGCCUUGUUGUCGAAGAUCAACAUGUUGAAAAGUCUUCAUUUUGCAGAAGCAAAUACAUUUAUAUUGUAUAUACACAUGUAGACCAUGUUCGAUUCCCAACCACUUAACAUUUGUGAUAUCUGCAUGGAAUUAUGAAAACUGAGCAUGGUUUGACGUAUAAUAAUCUCUUCAGGCAUGAUGGUUUACAUUUCACAAAGCUGUUCAAUGACAAUAAAGACAAUAAGAUGU